CCUACGGGAGGCAGCAGUGGGGAAUAUUGCACAAUGGGGGAAACCCUGAUGCAGCGACGCCGCGUGAGUGAAGAAGUAUUUCGGUACGUAAAGCUCUAUCAGCAGGGAAGAAAAUGACGGUACCUGACUAAGAAGCCCCGGCUAACUACGUGCCAGCAGCCGCGGUAAUACGUAGGGGGCAAGCUUUAUCCGGAUUUACUGGGUGUAAAGGGAGCGUAGACGGCAGCGCAAGUCUGGAGUGAAAUCCCAUGGCUUAACCAUGGAACUGCUUUGGAAACUGUGCAGCUAGAGUGCAGGAGAGGUAAGCGGAAUUCCUAGUGUAGCGGUGAAAUGCGUAGAUAUUAGGAGGAACACCAGUGGCGAAGGCGGCUUACUGGACUGUAACUGACGUUGAGGCUCGAAAGCGUGGGGAGCAAACAGGAUUAGAUACCCGGGUAGUC
This 440-nucleotide ribosomal RNA is filed under the name uncultured bacterium. RNAcentral's name for it is "partial 16S ribosomal RNA". It matches the Rfam family "Bacterial small subunit ribosomal RNA", at positions 338 to 795 of the family's 1533-position model. The record is from RNAcentral.